Molecule: ribosomal RNA, 504 nt
Filed under: uncultured bacterium
Lineage: Bacteria
Description: partial 16S ribosomal RNA
Rfam family: Bacterial small subunit ribosomal RNA
Source: RNAcentral
AUUGAACGCUGGCGGCAGGCCUAACACAUGCAAGUCGAACGGUAGCACAGAGAGCUUGCUCUCGGGUGACGAGUGGCGGACGGGUGAGUAAUGUCUGGGAAACUGCCCGAUGGAGGGGGAUAACUACUGGAAACGGUAGCUAAUACCGCAUAACGUCGCAAGACCAAAGUGGGGGACCUUCGGGCCUCACACCAUCGGAUGUGCCCAGAUGGGAUUAGCUAGUAGGUGGGGUAAUGGCUCACCUAGGCGACGAUCCCUAGCUGGUCUGAGAGGAGGGCCAGCCACACGGGAACUGAGACACGGUCCAGACUCCUACGAGAGGCAGCAGUGGGGAAUAUUGCACAAUGGGCGCAAGCCUGAUGCAGCCAUGCCGCGUGUAUGAAGAAGGCCUUCGGGUUGUAAAGUACUUUCAGCGGGGAGGAAGGCGGUGAAGUUAAUAGCUUCACCGAUUGGCGUUACCCGCAGAAGAAGCACCGGCUAACUCCGUGCCAGCAGCCGCGGUAA